GUACUCACUUUUGGCAGCACAUAUACUAAAACUGGAAGCAUACAGAGAAAAUUAGCAUGGCCUCUGUACAAAAAUGAUAAGCAAAUUUGUGAAAAAAGUAAAUCUUUA
Molecule: small nuclear RNA, 108 nt
Filed under: Castor canadensis (American beaver)
Lineage: Eukaryota; Metazoa; Chordata; Mammalia; Rodentia; Castoridae
Source: RNAcentral